Long non-coding RNA from Monopterus albus (swamp eel), 285 nucleotides. RefSeq lists it as uncharacterized. The transcript has 3 exons. The record is from RefSeq and is a predicted model, not a curated record. NCBI's taxonomy places the organism in Eukaryota, Metazoa, Chordata, Actinopteri, Synbranchiformes, Synbranchidae.
AAGUGGCUCGAUGUUAGAAUUAUCCAUGAAUUUUUAUAUUUUAAUGUCAUUACCAAGCCUUUAGAAUUCACAGCCAUUAUUGUUGAAAAGACAAAAAGAAAUCCAAAGAGCAGACAUAAUUCUUUAGAAGAGCUCUGAGCAAACACCUGUGCCUAUGAAAAAGAAUGCGGAGGACACACGCAGUUGUCAGCUAAGGGAGGACACAUAGACGCACUGGACAAUAAUCAAGGAUUGCUGGCUGAGAGUGCGUAUGUUGAGUGUUUAAAGAAAAAAGCCACUGGAGGA